GAUGAACGCUGGCUACAGGCUUAACACAUGCAAGUCGAGGGGAAACGACGGGGAAGCUUGCUUCCCCGGGCGUCGACCGGCGCACGGGUGAGUAACGCGUAUCCAACCUGCCUCUGACUGAGGGAUAACCCGUCGAAAGUCGGCCUAAUACCUCAUGGCAUCGUCUGCGGGCAUCCAACGACGAUUAAAGAUUUCAUCGGUCAGAGAUGGGGAUGCGUCUGAUUAGCUUGUUGGCGGGGUAACGGCCCACCAAGGCGACGAUCAGUAGGGGUUCUGAGAGGAAGGUCCCCCACAUUGGAACUGAGACACGGUCCAAACUCCUACGGGAGGCAGCAGUGAGGAAUAUUGGUCAAUGGGCGAGAGCCUGAACCAGCCAAGUAGCGUGCAGGAUGGCGGCCCUAUGGGUUGUAAACUGCUUUUAUGCGGGGAUAAAGUGAGGGACGUGUCCUUCAUUGCAGGUACCGCAUGAAUAAGGACCGGCUAAUUCCGUG
This 491-nucleotide ribosomal RNA is filed under the name uncultured bacterium. Its description in RNAcentral is "partial 16S ribosomal RNA". It matches the Rfam family "Bacterial small subunit ribosomal RNA", at positions 28 to 507 of the family's 1533-position model. The record is from RNAcentral.